RNAcentral lists this ribosomal RNA (253 nucleotides) under uncultured bacterium. RNAcentral's name for it is "partial 16S ribosomal RNA". It matches the Rfam family "Bacterial small subunit ribosomal RNA", at positions 524 to 776 of the family's 1533-position model. The record is from RNAcentral.
UACGGGGGGGGUAAGCGUUGUUCGGAAUUACUGGGCGUAAAGGGCUCGUAGGCGGCCAACUAAGUCGGACGUGAAAUCCCUCAGCUUAACUGGGGAACUGCGUCCGAUACUGGAUGGCUUGGAUUUGGGAGAGGGAUGCGGAAUUCCAGGUGUAGCGGUGAAAUGCGUAGAUAUCUGGAGGAACACCGGUGGCGAAGGCGGCAUCCUGGACCAACAUUGACGCUGAGGAGCGAAAGCCAGGGGAGCAAACGGG